This 84-nucleotide transfer RNA is filed under the name Candidatus Magasanikiibacteriota bacterium. Its description in RNAcentral is "tRNA-Leu". It matches the Rfam family "tRNA". Rfam says of the family: Transfer RNA (tRNA) molecules are approximately 80 nucleotides in length. Their secondary structure includes four short double-helical elements and three loops (D, anti-codon, and T loops). Lineage: Bacteria; Candidatus Magasanikiibacteriota. The record is from RNAcentral.
GCCCGGAUGGCGAAAUUGGUAUACGCGAGAGACUUAAAAUCUCUUGGUGGCAACACCGUGCCGGUUCAAGUCCGGCUCCGGGCA